AGCCAAUUUUCAACUUGAUUAUGACUAAUGCAAGACUACCAUUUCCAUGCCAGACCAUAACUACACACCAAAACUCAAUCUUAAGAUUAUAGGUGCACACACUGGGUCUCCUGACGGUAGAAGUGGACACGGAUCUAGUCAUCUCAGAUCUCUACAAGUGCCAAGGAGGUCUGAUAACCAGUGGCAUCCAGCAGGUGAGGUGAUCACCACAGUGAUCAUGGAGGAAGACAAACAGCUCACCUCGGGUCUUAGGGCAUCGUGUUUAUGACACCUGGGUCUGGCCUAGAUCCCCCAACCUUUGGGUUACCAAACCCGUGACUACCACUCACUCUGGACAAGUAGCAUAGGCACAGAUACUGUAUGCCGUGAUGCAACAAAAGGCACGGACACCACCUUACAGCACCACCUUACCAUGCAAAUGUUCCUAACGAAGAAUGCAAUUAAGGAGGCCUCUAAGGAUCAACAGUAACUACAUCAAAUGUAUUUACAGAGAGAAAAGAAUGUCAAACAAUAUCUGCAAAUGUCACUUACGAUGUUUGUCCUGUUAGCAGGCAGCAGCAGUGCCAUUGGAGAGUAGGCCUACUGUUUUAACGCUGGUAGCUACAGUAGAAACAAGGCCUUGUUUUCCAUUCAUUCACAUAAGCCCAGUAAUCAGUAUGGCUAAUCAGAAGUUGGAAAAGCCAGCACAACUAAAUACGUGUGAAGGAAUU
Oncorhynchus masou masou (cherry salmon) is the source of this 710-nucleotide long non-coding RNA. RefSeq lists it as uncharacterized. The transcript is spliced from 3 exons. NCBI's taxonomy places the organism in Eukaryota, Metazoa, Chordata, Actinopteri, Salmoniformes, Salmonidae. The record is from RefSeq and is a predicted model, not a curated record.